Molecule: long non-coding RNA, 3401 nt
Organism: Symphalangus syndactylus (siamang)
Lineage: Eukaryota; Metazoa; Chordata; Mammalia; Primates; Hylobatidae
Source: RefSeq, a predicted model, not a curated record
GGGAUGCUGUUGUGUUCUGGGUGUAGCACCCACCCAGCCAUGCUGAAACAAUGCCAUGGCCAACAUCCCUUCAGCUGUCCAGCCAGACUUGCCUGAGGGCAUCUGUACCUGCGGCCAUGCCUGUGUGCUUUCUUUGGCUUCUGGCUUUCUUUGCCGUUCCUUGUUUUCCUUUUGAAAAAUCCAACAUGGUCUGGAAAGCAUAUGACCACAGUUCAGUGGGGUUAGGGAGGGGAUCAGGGUGUCCGGUAAGGCUGCUAAGUGAGGUCCUUGAGUUGGGUGAGAAGUUGCCCUAGGUUGGGGGCAACCUAGGAUGUGGGUGAGACCUGGGGAAGGUGAGACCCACAGAACCUUCCCUACAGGGGCUUUUCCUCCCCCCUUCCUCCUCCCCCCAACUCUCUUUCUGUCCACCCUUGUUGUUCUCUGAUCCACUUAUUCAGCAGACUCAAUGGGGGCCCUUGGUGCCAGGCCCUGAGAGGGCCCCUGAGGUACAGAGAUAAAUACGGCACUAUUUUAGGCCACAGGUGACUGCGAGCACCUUGAGCACAGAGAGCUGGCCUACCUUGUUCAUCACAGCAUUCCCAGCACCUGUUGAAUGAACGAAUGAAUGAAUGCACAGAUGCAGCCAUGCCAUCCCUGUCUCCGGAAGCUCACAUACAGGAAGGCAUGCUUAUUAGAGGAAAUACAGAGAAGUAGAAAGAAGAAAAUAAACGCCACCACCCAAUGGGAAAUGAGACUAAAACAGAGAUGGGAAUAAGAAUCCCUUUCAACAUCACGGGAGGAUUGUCUGAAUAAGAUGAGCUGAUGCUUGUAAAGAGCCUUUCAUGGAUCAUCUCAUGAAUACAUAACGAGGCUGCGCUCAAGCGCAUCUGGCCCGGCCAGCGCCUCCGCCACUUAAUCUCGUCCAUGCUCCAAUAUCCAGGCGGCCCAGCUGGGGCCUGCCUUAAAGGAGCCGCUUCCCUUUCCUGCCUGGGGAUGCCAGGCCAGCCUAGCACCAGGCACCACCGAGACCCGGCCGUGAAGGGGGAUGGCAGACCUGGGGAAGGAAGAAGUCCUAAGACUCUGGAUUGCAGUGUAUCCAGCAGCCCGCGAGAAGCACUGGCCUGGGACCCAGAUGUAGGUACCUGGAAUACCUGCCGCCGCAUCCUAGGAUGGGCACACACCUGCCUUGGGACGUGCCGACACCACCACGUGCUAUCAGGAAUUCUGAGCUCCCCGAGGAACUUAGAUCCAACUGGGAUCACCCACGGUGUCACAUGGUCAUGGGGGUGACGUGCCUACUCCCGCCUCACCUUCUGCCAUGAGUAAAAGCUUCCUGAGGCCUCCCCAGGAGCUGAGCAGAUGCCAGCGUCAUGCUUUCUGUACCGUCUACAGAACCGUGUUGUUCCAACCUUUAUCUACAUUAAUAUCGUCAAUCCUUUCAACCAUCCUGGAAAUGUAUUGUCUCUGUUUUAAAGAUGAGAAAUCAAGACACAGAGAGGUUAAGAAACUUUUCUGAGAACACACAGCUGGCUUCGUUUAGGUAGAAGGACAACCCCCUGAAGUGGAGGAGACUUGGGCCAGACUAGACUGGCCAGGAUGGAGGAAGAGCCAGAAUAAUCCUUAAGGAGGGAAAGGCAGGGCACAGCUGGCCCAAAGAGUGUUGUGAGACCACGCGGCAGAUGGGAACGAAGUUUUGGGGACAGCAGAUGCAGAAUCGGGAGUGGUGAAGCGUGCCUAGUGGAUGCUGGCUCAGAACAGAAGACUCAGACCCACACUAAGAACCAAGGAAGAGGACGAAGGUCUGCCUGUUAGGACCAGAAGCACAUCCAGCUGCUGCCAGAAAUCCCCACCUGACCCUGCAUUCUGUCAGGGAGCUGGGCCCCCGUGUCCUGCAGAACCUUCCACCCACCAGGGCCUGGCCACUCCCAAACCAGCUGCAGAGGCUUGGAGAGGACACUUCAUAAGACAAAGUGUACCCAACUCAAAAAGGGCAUGCUGCCACAUCCAGCUGUCUUCCGGAAAGAACCAGAUCAACUGCUACUCUGCUGAAGAUGGAAAAAAUCCCAUUAAUUUCCUGACAGGGUUGUUGUAAGGAUCGAGUGAGAUGACCCAGGACAGCAUGUGGACCACCUGCACAGAGUGAGGGCCUGGCCAAUAGCAGCGCUCCUCAGGGCUCAUAGCAGCUCCUCUGACAUCACUACAAGGACUUCACUGUCUGCAAGUAGACAGGGAAGACAGCUUCAUCCCAGAACCUCACCUUAGCAGUAUCCUCAGUCUACCUUCAGCCCAGAUCGCGAGGGCAGCCCUAAGCCUUGUGAUGGCCCUGGAGGGAGUCUGAGCUACGCAGACAGCAGGAUGGAGACAAAGCUUCUAAUCCCCAUGAAGGACUCUGAGUUCAUGCAAGCCCUCCACCCCUCUGCACCAGCUGUGAAAAGGCCUCAUCUGGAAUUCCUGGUGGUUGAGCAGACAGCAAGGUCCUUGCUGAAGCCACAGAUGAGUGGACCCUCCCACCCAUUCAGCCCUUUCCCCUUGCUUCCUCUGCACUCUCGAGGGGCUGGCCCCUUUCUCCCAUCAGCUGUCUGGGCUGGUUGAAUUAUUUCAGUGUUUUCGGACUCUCAGGAGUUGGCACAGAGCGUUGGAAGCCCUCCAGGAAUUCCAGCUGGGUAUGGAGCAUGGAUGAACUUGGCAGGUCACCUGCUUCCUACUCAGUGCUUGUCCACUUCCCCUGGGCUGACAGGAAGAGAUAGGGAUCGUCUCAUGAUCAGUGGGUGGCUUCUUGGGGACUGGCCCUCCAUUCAGCAAAUAUUCCAUGAGUUGCCCUCCAUGUCCCAGACUUCCUUACAGUAGUAAGUUGCAGCCAUGUGACUAAUCCCCAUCAAUGGGCUGUGAGAGGAAAUGACACGUGUAACUUCUGGGCCACGGCGGUUAACAGCCAGAGUGCCUUGGCCUCCCUCCUCUUCCCCAGAUGCAGUGACCUUGGGUGUCAUGCAUUCCAAAUGACAUGGGACCGCAAUGGAGAAAACAAACCCUUAUUGUCUAGUGCUGCUGAGCUUGGGGGUUUAUGUGCCUCUGCAGCAGAGCCAAGCCUAACCUGACUAAUAACAGGGCCUGUUGAAAAUAUCAGUUCAGCCUCCAGGGUCUGUGGUCUAAAGGUCAGCCAUGAAGGCAGGCAGGCAGGCAUCGACCAUGAUGCCCCAGUAAAAACUCAGAACACCAAGGCUCAGAUGAGCGCCCCUCGUUGGCAAUAUUCUGCUUAUUGUCACACGUCAUACCUGGAGGAGUCAGCACUGUCUGUGACUCCACAGGCAAAGGACAAUGGGAGCUCUGACACUGGAACCCUCUUGGAUUCUACCCCACAUGUGUCUUCCUUGAUUUGAUCUGUAUCCUUACACGGUAAUAAAUCAUAACCAUGGGUAUAAACA